AUUGAACGCUGGCGGCAUGCUUUACACAUGCAAGUCGAACGGCAGCGCGGGCUUCGGCCUGGCGGCGAGUGGCGAACGGGUGAGUAAUGCAUCGGAACGUGCCCAGUAGUGGGGGAUAGCCCGGCGAAAGCCGGAUUAAUACCGCAUACGACCUGAGGGUGAAAGCGGGGGACGAAAGGCCUCGCGCCAUUGGAGCGGCCGAUGUCGGAUUAGCUAGUUGGUGGGGUAAAGGCUUACCAAGGCGACGAUCCGUAGCUGGUCUGAGAGGACGACCAGCCACACUGGGACUGAGACACGGCCCAGACUCCUACGGGAGGCAGCAGUGGGGAAUUUUGGACAAUGGGGGCAACCCUGAUCCAGCCAUGCCGCGUGCGGGAAGAAGGCCUUCGGGUUGUAAACCGCUUUUGUUCGGGAAGAAAUCCUCUGGGCUAAUACCCCGGGGGGAUGACGGUACCGGAAGAAUAAGCACCGGCUAACUACGUG
RNAcentral lists this ribosomal RNA (483 nucleotides) under uncultured bacterium. RNAcentral describes it as "partial 16S ribosomal RNA". It matches the Rfam family "Bacterial small subunit ribosomal RNA", at positions 28 to 507 of the family's 1533-position model. The record is from RNAcentral.